AAUUGUUAGACUCUCUAAACUCCAUGCUGACCCCUUUCCAAGUAUAUUUCAGUUUAUGGGAAUGUGGGACCGACCAACCUCCCAAUCCAAAUUCUCCAAAUAUCACUGUUCCUCCUCAUGGAUUCUCACAUUUGGAGAGUACUCAGUGGAUACAGUAGCCAGGCAUCCAAACAAGCCAAUAAAUGAACUACAAGUCUUCACUAGUUCCGACCAAGGAGAAGUCCUCUUAAAUGAAAAAUCUUCCCAUAAUUUCACUAUUUACAUGCAAGCCCACUUGGUCAUCAUUUCUGGAUACAUACCACCCUCUAAUUUGAAUUCAAGGGGGCCAUGUCCAGGAAAUGAUGCAACCAGUUUUUAUCUCAUUUCCUUUCUGAAACAUGCUCAUCCCUAACUCUAUCCCUCGCAAUUCUACCCCAUAUUAACCACAACAUUUCAUCUUCCAUCGACAUCACACAUGUGUUGGACUCUAAGAGCUCUUGUUCAAAGACUCAUUCCGAUGAGAUUCGCUUUCCGGGAGUCGAUAAAUGGAAUCCUC
This 535-nucleotide long non-coding RNA is filed under the name Phoenix dactylifera (date palm). Its description in RNAcentral is "long non-coding RNA (PDAC_LNC022307)". The record is from RNAcentral. Lineage: Eukaryota; Viridiplantae; Streptophyta; Magnoliopsida; Arecales; Arecaceae.